RNAcentral lists this ribosomal RNA (422 nucleotides) under uncultured bacterium. RNAcentral's name for it is "bacterial SSU rRNA". It matches the Rfam family "Bacterial small subunit ribosomal RNA", at positions 355 to 774 of the family's 1533-position model. The record is from RNAcentral.
UGAGGAAUAUUGGACAAUGGGUGGAAGCCUGAUCCAGCCAUCCCGCGUGAAGGAUGACGGUUCUAUGGAUUGUAAACUUCUUUUGUACAGGGAUAAACCUGCCCUCGUGAGGGCAGCUGAAGGUACUGUACGAAUAAGCACCGGCUAACUCCGUGCCAGCAGCCGCGGUAAUACGGAGGGUGCGAGCGUUAUCCGGAUUUAUUGGGUUUAAAGGGUCCGUAGGCGGGCCUGUAAGUCAGUGGUGAAAUCUCAUAGCUUAACUAUGAAACUGCCAUUGAUACUGCAGGCCUUGAGUAAAUUUGAAGUGGCUGGAAUAAGUAGUGUAGCGGUGAAAUGCAUAGAUAUUACUUAGAACACCGAUUGCGAAGGCAGGUCACUAAGAUUUAACUGACGCUGAUGGACGAAAGCGUGGGGAGCGAACA